GGGGAUUUGGCUCAGUGGUAGAGCGCUUGUCUAGGAAUCGCAAGGUCCUGGGUUCAAUCCCCAGCCCCG
Rattus norvegicus (Norway rat) is the source of this 69-nucleotide non-coding RNA. Lineage: Eukaryota; Metazoa; Chordata; Mammalia; Rodentia; Muridae. The record is from Rfam.